ACCAAAAUGGGAAUAAUUGGAACAGAGACCAGCAGAGGAAGAGAAAAAGAAAAUCUGGGUCUUCACUGCAAACCCAGACUGGCAAGAAGAGAUACAUGACUGAGAAAUACAUAGUUCAUGGAUUUAGUUUUUGCUCAAGUCUAGAGGUAUUCAGGGUAAGAUGUUUUUCAUAAUGCUUUCAAACUCAUUUACCUCUUUAUAAAUUCAGCAAAAAACCCCCAAAACAGUGGUAGGAUCUGCACAAGAGGUCUAGUAUGACUCUAGUUCUCUACUGGGUUAAGGGUUGCUCAAGAGCUAAAGCCAGCACUGAAUGCAUUUGCCUCUGUUUUUAAUUAAGGUACCUCCUGUUGAUGCUCCUGGGAUCCCCCAAAAGUUGUGUCCUCUCUGGAUUUGGAUCUAAGCUGCUUUGCUUGAAGCAAAGCACUGCACCUCCCUAUUAGAAAUGAAGACUGCAUGUUUCCUUCUCAACAUCACCGUAAGCUAAAGAGUGGCCAACUGGAAGUAGGUACCUGUCAACUGGCAAGAUUUCCAGACUGAAAUGUCACUACAGAGUAAUGUGAAGCACUCCCAUGUGUACUAGCUGGCAACCGUGAGAUUGUAUUUCUUCCAGACACCAACGUACACCUCGCCAUACUGCCCUCCCCCAAGUUUGUGCUUCAUGGUGAUAUCAGUCCGCUCCAUCUCCCACUUGUCA
Long non-coding RNA from Harpia harpyja (harpy eagle), 694 nucleotides. RefSeq lists it as uncharacterized. The transcript has 3 exons. NCBI's taxonomy places the organism in Eukaryota, Metazoa, Chordata, Aves, Accipitriformes, Accipitridae. The record is from RefSeq and is a predicted model, not a curated record.